UCUGAAAUAAAACCCUAAGCUUCAUUUUCUCUCCUUUUUCCCCACUCAGCCUCCAAGUUCAGACCACCGUCGCUGCCACCUUGGCCAGUGGCCGGAGUUGCCGCGAGAAGGGCCUCUCGGCCUUCCCUUCACGGCGUCCUUGAAGGCUAGGCCCUCUCGACCGCGGCACCAAGAGAAAAAGGAAGAGACGCCCCUCCCCGCUCAAUUCCGAUGACGGCGAAGGAGGGCUCCGACUCCGGCCUUCGAAACCAACAGGCAUUUAAUGGGCAUGGUGGUGGGUCGGUGGCAGAGAUUGAGGUGACAAGGCGAAUGGCGGUGGUAGGUGGUGGCAGAGUACGGCGUACAUGGGGUUAGGGGGAUUAGGGUUUUCUGAUAGCUUUAGGUUAUGGCCUUCGAAACCAACAGGCAUUUAAUGGGCAUGGUGGUGGGUCGGUGGCAGAGAGUUGAGGUGACAAGGCGAAUGGCGGUGGUAGGUGGUGGCAGAGUACGGCGCACAUGGGGUUAGGGGGAUUAGGGUUUUCUGAUAGCUUUAGGUUAUUGGGUCAUUGGGUUGUUUGGGCCAGUUGUAUUGGGCCAUUUGGGUUAGUUUUGGGGUAUGAUUAAUUUGAGUUUUGGGUCUCUGGUUGUUGGGCCCUGGCAUAAAUUGGUCUGUACACCCAUCUCUUAACAUACUCUUUACCUGGCUAUUGUUUUCCGCAUCAUUUCCUUCUACUCUUCCGUACAACUUUUUUGCAUCAAA
Long non-coding RNA from Gossypium raimondii (Peruvian cotton), 739 nucleotides. RefSeq lists it as uncharacterized. The transcript has 3 exons. The record is from RefSeq and is a predicted model, not a curated record. NCBI's taxonomy places the organism in Eukaryota, Viridiplantae, Streptophyta, Magnoliopsida, Malvales, Malvaceae.